UUCAGACAAAAAAAGCAAUUUUUCUUCAAAGACUUUCUAGUCAACUUUUUAUUGCCACUCAAGCAUGGACUGAUGAAGAAAGUAGCUAAGGGCUCUGGAAUCAGAGUUACUCUUCUUACUAAGUAGGUGUGGAAGUGGAACAACCAACAACAAAAGUGAAAGGCUGUUUGAUGGGGGAGUGUCAAGUGGCAGGUGUGAAGAAUAACUGUCCCGGCUUUGUGAGCACUCCUGGGUGGGAGAGAAAUGAGCAUUAACAAUGUAGUGGAAAACAAAU
This is a long non-coding RNA of Talpa occidentalis (Iberian mole), 274 nucleotides long. RefSeq lists it as uncharacterized. The record is from RefSeq and is a predicted model, not a curated record. NCBI's taxonomy places the organism in Eukaryota, Metazoa, Chordata, Mammalia, Eulipotyphla, Talpidae. The transcript is spliced from 3 exons.